AAGUCGACGAAGUAGCAAUACUUAGUGGCAGACGGGUGAGUAACAUGUAGGUAUCUACCCUUUGGUGAGGAAUAACACGAGGAAACUUGUGCUAAUACCUCAUAAGUCUUUACGGAGAAAGCUUUAUGCGCCGAAGGAUGAGCCUGCACUUGAUUAGUUUGUUGGUGGGGUAAUGGCCUACCAAGACUUUGAUCUAUAGCUGAUCUGAGAGGAUGAUCAGCCACAUUGGGACUGAGACACGGCCCAAACUCCUACGGGAGGCAGCAGUAGGGAAUAUUGCACAAUGGAGGAAACUCUGAUGCAGCGAUGCCGCGUGAGUGAAGAAGGCCUUUGGGUUGUAAAGCUCUUUCGUCGGGGAAGAAAAUGACUGUACCCGAAUAAGAAGGUCCGGCUAACUUCGUGCCAGCAGCCGCGGUAAUACGAAGGGACCUAGCGUAGUUCGGAAUUACUGGGCUUAAAGAGUUCGUAGGUGGUUAAAAAAGUUGGUGGUGAAAUCCCAGAGCUUAACUCUGGAACUGCCAUCAAAACUUUUUAGCUAGAGUAUGAUAGAGGAAAGCAGAAUUUCUAGUGUAGAGGUGAAAUUCGUAGAUAUUAGAAAGAAUACCAAUUGCGAAGGCAGCUUUCUGGAUCAUUACUGACGCUGAGGAACGAAAGCAUGGGUAGCGAAGAGGAUUAGAUACCCUCGUAGUCCAUGCCGUACACGAUGCGUGUUAGACGUUGGAAAUUUAUUUUCAGUGUCGCAGCGAAAGCGUUAAACACACCGCCUGG
Molecule: ribosomal RNA, 768 nt
Filed under: uncultured marine bacterium
Lineage: Bacteria
Description: bacterial SSU rRNA
Rfam family: Bacterial small subunit ribosomal RNA
Source: RNAcentral